GGGCGGUUAGCUCAGCGGUAGAGCACUGCUUUCACACGGCAGGGGUCAGUGGUUCGAUCCCACUACCGCCCACCA
Molecule: transfer RNA, 75 nt
Filed under: Gammaproteobacteria bacterium
Lineage: Bacteria; Pseudomonadati; Pseudomonadota; Gammaproteobacteria
Also listed under: 9 other names
Description: tRNA-Val
Rfam family: tRNA
About the family: Transfer RNA (tRNA) molecules are approximately 80 nucleotides in length. Their secondary structure includes four short double-helical elements and three loops (D, anti-codon, and T loops).
Source: RNAcentral